RNAcentral lists this ribosomal RNA (496 nucleotides) under uncultured bacterium. RNAcentral describes it as "partial 16S ribosomal RNA". It matches the Rfam family "Bacterial small subunit ribosomal RNA", at positions 28 to 506 of the family's 1533-position model. The record is from RNAcentral.
GAUGAACGCUGGCGGCGUGCCUAAUACAUGCAAGUCGAGCGAACUGACGAGAAGCUUGCUUCUCUGAUGUUAGCGGCGGACGGGUGAGUAACACGUGGAUAACCUACCUAUAAGACUGGGAUAACUUCGGGAAACCGGAGCUAAUACCGGAUAAUAUUUUGAACCGCAUGGUUCAAAAGUGAAAGACGGUCUUGCUGUCACUUAUAGAUGUAUCCGCGCUGCAUUAGCUAGUUGGUAAGGUAACGGCUUACCAAGGCAACGAUGCAUAGCCGACCUGAGAGGGUGAACGGGCACACUGGAAAUGAGACACGGUCCAGAAACCUACGAGGAGCAGCAGUAGGGAAUCUUCCGCAAUGGGCGAAAGCCUGACGGAGCAACGCCGAAUGAGUGAUGAAAGUCUUCGGAUCGUAAAACUCUGUUAUUAGGGAAGAAAAUAUGUGUAAGUAACUGUGCACAUCUUGACGGUACAUAAUCAGAAAGCCACGGCUAACUACGU